Molecule: ribosomal RNA, 253 nt
Filed under: uncultured bacterium
Lineage: Bacteria
Description: partial 16S ribosomal RNA
Rfam family: Bacterial small subunit ribosomal RNA
Source: RNAcentral
UACGAAGGGAGCUAGCGUUGUUCGGAAUCACUGGGCGUAAAGCGCACGUAGGCGGAUGUGUCAGUCAGGGGUGAAAUCCCGGAGCUCAACUUCGGAACUGCCUUUGAUACAGCACGUCUUGAGUCCGAUAGAGGUGGGUGGAAUUCCUAGUGUAGAGGUGAAAUUCGUAGAUAUUAGGAAGAACACCGGUGGCGAAGGCGGCCCACUGGAUCGGUACUGACGCUGAGGCAUGAAAGCGUGGGGAGCAAACCGG